RNAcentral lists this ribosomal RNA (253 nucleotides) under uncultured bacterium. Its description in RNAcentral is "partial 16S ribosomal RNA". It matches the Rfam family "Bacterial small subunit ribosomal RNA", at positions 524 to 776 of the family's 1533-position model. The record is from RNAcentral.
UACGUAGGGGGCAAGCGUUGUCCGGAUUUAUUGGGCGUAAAGAGCGUGUAGGCGGCCUGACAGGUCUGCUGUGAAAACUCGAGGCUCAACCUCGAGAUGUCGGCGGAAACCGUCUGGCUAGAGUCCGGAAGAGGAGAGUGGAAUUCCUGGUGUAGCGGUGAAAUGCGCAGAUAUCAGGAGGAACACCAAUGGCGAAGGCAGCUCGCUGGGACGGUACUGACGCUGAGACGCGAAAGCGUGGGGAGCAAACAGG